GUGAACGCUGGCGGUAGGCCUAACCCCUGCCAGUCGCACGGCAGCACAGUAAGAGCUUGCUCUUACGGGUGGCGAGUGGCGGACGGGUGAGGAAUACAUCGGAAUCUACUUUUUCGUGGGGGAUAACGUAGGGAAACUUACGCUAAUACCGCAUACGACCUACGGGUGAAAGCAGGGGAUCUUCGGACCUUGCGCGAUUGAAUGAGCCGAUGUCGGAUUAGCUAGUUGGCGGGGUAAAGGCCCACCAAGGCGACAAUCCGUAGCUGGUCUGAGAGGAUGAUCAGCCACACUGGAACUGAGACACGGUCCAGACUCCUACGGGAGGCAGCAGUGGGGAAUAUUGGACAAUGGGCGCAAGCCUGAUCCAGCCAUACCGCGUGGGUGAAGAAGGCCUUCGGGUUGUAAAGCCCUUUUGUUGGGAAAGAAAAGCAGCAGGUUAAUACCCCGCUGUUCUGACGGUACCCAAAGAAUAAGCACCGGCUAACUUCGUG
This 491-nucleotide ribosomal RNA is filed under the name uncultured bacterium. Its description in RNAcentral is "partial 16S ribosomal RNA". It matches the Rfam family "Bacterial small subunit ribosomal RNA", at positions 29 to 507 of the family's 1533-position model. The record is from RNAcentral.